This 536-nucleotide ribosomal RNA is filed under the name Pasteurella multocida. Its description in RNAcentral is "bacterial SSU rRNA". It matches the Rfam family "Bacterial small subunit ribosomal RNA", at positions 35 to 558 of the family's 1533-position model. The record is from RNAcentral. Lineage: Bacteria; Pseudomonadati; Pseudomonadota; Gammaproteobacteria; Pasteurellales; Pasteurellaceae.
GCUGGCGGCAGGCUUAACACAUGCAAGUCGAACGGUAGCAGGAAGAAAGCUUGCUUUCUUUGCUGACGAGUGGCGGACGGGUGAGUAAUGCUUGGGAAUCUGGCUUAUGGAGGGGGAUAACUGUGGGAAACUGCAGCUAAUACCGCGUAAUCUCUGAGGAGUAAAGGGUGGGACCUCUUGGCCACCUGCCAUAAGAUGAGCCCAAGUGGGAUUAGGUAGUUGGUGGGGUAAAGGCCUACCAAGCCUGCGAUCUCUAGCUGGUCUGAGAGGAUGACCAGCCACACUGGAACUGAGACACGGUCCAGACUCCUACGGGAGGCAGCAGUGGGGAAUAUUGCGCAAUGGGGGGAACCCUGACGCAGCCAUGCCGCGUGAAUGAAGAAGGCCUUCGGGUUGUAAAGUUCUUUCGGUAAUGAGGAAGGGAUGUUAUUAAAUAGAUGGCAUCAUUGACGUUAAUUACAGAAGAAGCACCGGCUAACUCCGUGCCAGCAGCCGCGGUAAUACGGAGGGUGCGAGCGUUAAUCGGAAUAACUGGG